This 64-nucleotide transfer RNA is filed under the name Shinkaia crosnieri. Its description in RNAcentral is "tRNA-Thr". It matches the Rfam family "tRNA". From Rfam's summary of the family: Transfer RNA (tRNA) molecules are approximately 80 nucleotides in length. Their secondary structure includes four short double-helical elements and three loops (D, anti-codon, and T loops). Further hydrogen bonds mediate the characteristic L-shaped molecular structure. tRNAs have two regions of fundamental functional importance: the anti-codon, which is responsible for specific mRNA codon recognition, and the 3' end, to which the tRNAs corresponding amino acid is attached (by aminoacyl-tRNA synthetases). tRNAs cope with the degeneracy of the genetic code in two manners: having more than one tRNA (with a specific anti-codon) for a particular amino acid; and 'wobble' base-pairing, i.e. permitting non-standard base-pairing at the 3rd anti-codon position. Lineage: Eukaryota; Metazoa; Arthropoda; Malacostraca; Decapoda; Munidopsidae. The record is from RNAcentral.
GUUUUAAUAGUUUAACUCAAAACUUUGGUCUUGUAAUUCAAAAAUGAAAAAAUUUCUUAAAACU